RNAcentral lists this ribosomal RNA (42 nucleotides) under uncultured ectomycorrhiza (Lactarius pseudomucidus). RNAcentral describes it as "partial 18S ribosomal RNA". Lineage: Eukaryota; Fungi; Basidiomycota; Agaricomycetes; Russulales; Russulaceae. The record is from RNAcentral.
AGAGGAUCAGCCUUCGUAGGUUAUGCCUGCGGAGGAUCAUUA